This 541-nucleotide ribosomal RNA is filed under the name uncultured bacterium. RNAcentral describes it as "bacterial SSU rRNA". It matches the Rfam family "Bacterial small subunit ribosomal RNA", at positions 355 to 912 of the family's 1533-position model. The record is from RNAcentral.
UGGGGAAUCUUGGACAAUGGGGGCAACCCUGAUCCAGCCAUGCCGCGUGAGUGAUGAAGGCCUUAGGGUCGUAAAGCUCUUUCGCCUGUGAAGAUAAUGACGGUAGCAGGUAAAGAAACCCCGGCUAACUCCGUGCCAGCAGCCGCGGUAAUACGGAGGGGGUUAGCGUUGUUCGGAAUUACUGGGCGUAAAGCGCACGUAGGCGGACCAGAAAGUUGGGGGUGAAAUCCCGGGGGCUCAACCCCGGAACUGCCUCCAAAACUAUUGGUCUAGAGUUCGAGAGAGGUGAGUGGAAUUCCAAGUGUAGAGGUGAAAUUCGUAGAUAUUUGGAGGAACACCAGUGGCGAAGGCGCCUAACUGGUCCGGUACUGACGCUGAGGAACGAAAGCGUGGGGAGCAAACAGGAUUAGAUACCCUGGUAGUCCACACCGUAAAACGAUGAAUGCCAGUCGUCGGGUAGCAUGCUAUUCGGUGACACACCUAACGGAUUAAGCAUUCCGCCUGGGGAGUACGGUCGCAAGAUUAAAACUCAAAUGAAUUG